Lycium ferocissimum is the source of this 377-nucleotide long non-coding RNA. RefSeq lists it as uncharacterized. The record is from RefSeq and is a predicted model, not a curated record. The transcript has 3 exons. NCBI's taxonomy places the organism in Eukaryota, Viridiplantae, Streptophyta, Magnoliopsida, Solanales, Solanaceae.
UUUUCUUGGAAGUGAAGUAAGGUGGGAGAAGAAUAUUUCUUCGCACAUAAGAUUGGUGAAGCCCGAGACCUAAGUUAUGGUUAACUUGAGAAGCGACAAGGUACAGAUACUCGAUUUGGUGAUCCUCCAGCUUAGGACUUCUACUCAGCUGUCUUGGAGUGCUCCGUUGUUCCGGAGCCUAGACUUUUGGCACAGAUCUUUUGAUAUAUGUAUAUGUUUAUCCAGGGGUACGGCGGGGCCCUGUCCCGUCAUAUGUCAUUGUUGAUACUCUUAGAGGUCUGUAGACAUAUGUGUGGGUUGUAUAUAGAUGUUGUUCAGCUGUGUCUAUAUGACUUAUUUUGGGACGUUCCCGUAUGUAGUGGCAGCCUUGUCGGCUU